CUUCAAGGAGCAGUAAGAUCCUUCCAGCGCUCCAUCACCUUCCGCCUGCCCCUGGGAAGUACGAAAGUCCGGUCUCUUGGAGCCGCUGCUUAGGCUUAUUGUCCUCUCUGGGCGCUUUGUCCUCUCUGGGCGCCUUGUAUUCUUGAUGUUGGUGGGAAGAAUAAAAGGCGGCUACAGUUUACCUGGAAGUGACAAACAUAAGUAUGUCAAUGGGACAAGUGUUUUUAUUCCUAUUUGGGAAUCUUCUACAAGAUCACACAGAUAGGAGGUGGUGAAAGGCCAGGAAUCACCCAAGCUCCGACUGCAAAAACUGCAAUUUUCACCCUGCCUGCACAGUUCCAUAUACAUGUAUAUUAACAAAUAAGUACAUGCUAUGGAGAGAAAAACUUUAUAACUAGUAUCAACGUAUGUGUCACCCUUGUUCCUAUAUUAACAUUUGCUAAUCUUUAAUUACUUGGCAGACACUGUAGUUAUUCAUUAACUUAUUGAACCUGCAAUGUGCCAGACAUUGUUUCAGAUGCAUGGGGAGGUUCUAAUAAAUACAUCUUGUUCUUCUAGAUCUUUUAUCCUACAGAAGAAAUACUGAUAAACAAUGAAUACAAUAAAUGGAUACAUACAUCAUACAUAAGUAUGUUUGAAGUAUGUACAUACAUACAUCAUACAGAAGUAAGAGCAGAAAUAAAAAUAGCAGAA
Long non-coding RNA from Symphalangus syndactylus (siamang), 693 nucleotides. RefSeq lists it as uncharacterized. NCBI's taxonomy places the organism in Eukaryota, Metazoa, Chordata, Mammalia, Primates, Hylobatidae. The record is from RefSeq and is a predicted model, not a curated record.